Molecule: ribosomal RNA, 509 nt
Filed under: uncultured bacterium
Lineage: Bacteria
Description: partial 16S ribosomal RNA
Rfam family: Bacterial small subunit ribosomal RNA
Source: RNAcentral
GACGAACGCUGGCGGCGUGCUUAACACAUGCAAGUCGAACGAAGAGCGAUGGAAGCUUGCUUCUAUCAAUCUUAGUGGCGAACGGGUGAGUAACGCGUAAUCAACCUGCCCUUCAGAGGGGGACAACAGUUGGAAACGACUGCUAAUACCGCAUACGAUCUAAUCUCGGCAUCGAGGAUAGAUGAAAGGUGGCCUCUACAUGUAAGCUAUCACUGAAGGAGGGGAUUGCGUCUGAUUAGCUAGUUGGAGGGGUAACGGCCCACCAAGGCGAUGAUCAGUAGCCGGUCUGAGAGGAUGAACGGCCACAUUGGGACUGAGACACGGCCCAGACUCCUACGGGAGGCAGCAGUGGGGAAUCUUCCGCAAUGGACGAAAGUCUGACGGAGCAACGCCGCGUGAGUGAUGACGGCCUUCGGGUUGUAAAGCUCUGUUAAUCGGGACGAAAGGCCUUCCUGCGAAUAGUGAGAAGGAUUGACGGUACCGGAAUAGAAAGCCACGGCUAACUACGU